This is a non-coding RNA of Euleptes europaea (tarantolino), 69 nucleotides long. Lineage: Eukaryota; Metazoa; Chordata; Lepidosauria; Squamata; Sphaerodactylidae. The record is from the annotation of a RefSeq genome assembly.
GCUCUGGCUCAGUGGUAGAGUGUAUGCCUUGGAUGCAAAAGGUCCCAGGUUCAAUCCCUGGCAGCAGCU